GGGACUGCCAGAUAGCCAGCAUGUGUUAGUAUAAACGAUUUUAUACUGUAAGACUGCGAACGGCUCAUUAUAUCAGUUAUAGUUUAUUUGAUACUUUUUCACUAUUGGAUAACCGUAGUAAUUCUAGAGCUAAUACAUGCUUCCAUCCCCAACUCACGACGGGGUGUAUUUAUUAGAUUUCAAUCAACAUUUUUUGCUGACUCAUGAUAACUUAGCGGAUCGCAGAGGCCUCGUGCCGGCGACAAAUCAUUCAAGUUUCUGCCCUAUCAGCUUUCGAUGGUAGUGUAUUGGACUACCAUGGCAUUCACGGGUAACGGAGGAUUAGGGUUCGAUUCCGGAGAGGGAGCCUGAGAAAUGGCUACCACAUCCAAGGAAGGCAGCAGGCGCGUAAAUUACCCAAUCCCAAUUCGGGGAGGUAGUGACAAUAAAUAUCGAUGCGGGGCCCUUCGGGUCUUGCAAUCGGAAUGAGAACAAUUUAAAUCCCUUAACGAGGAUCAAUUGGAGGGCAAGUCUGGUGCCAGCAGCCGCGGUAAUUCCAGCUCCAAUAGCGUAUAUUAAUGUUGUUGCAGUUAAAAAGCUCGUAGUUGGAUUUCUGCGCCGCGCAACUCGGUCCGCUGCACUGCAGUGUGAUGUGUGGUUGGAGCGUCGCAUCCUUGUGGGGACUGUUUGUGUCAUUAAUUUGAUGGAUUCCGGAACCGCAUCGUUUACUGUGAAAAAAUUAGAGUGUUCAAAGCAGGCUUAUGCCGUGAAUACAUUAGCAUGGAAUAAUAAGAUAGGACUUUGGUUCUAUUUUGUUGGUUGGAGGCCAAGGUAAUGAUUAAUAGGGAUAGUUGGGGGUAUUCAUAUUUAAUUGUCAGAGGUGAAAUUCUUGGAUUUAUGAAAGAUGAACUUAUGCGAAAGCAUUUACCAAGGAUGUUUUCAUUAAUCAAGAACGAAAGUUAGGGGAUCGAAGAGGAUUAGAUACCCUCGUAGUCUUAACCAUAAACUAUGCCGACUCAGGAUCGGAAGGUGUACAUUAAAAGACCCUUUCGGCACUGUAUGAGAAAUCAAAGUCUAUGGGUUCCGGGGGGAGUAUGGUCGCAAGGCUGAAACUUAAAGGAAUGACGGAAGCACCCCGAGCGGUCC
Molecule: ribosomal RNA, 1125 nt
Filed under: uncultured marine eukaryote
Lineage: Eukaryota
Description: bacterial SSU rRNA
Rfam family: Eukaryotic small subunit ribosomal RNA
Source: RNAcentral